AAAUAGUUUUUUAUUUUAGAUAUUAAUUUUAUUUUUUUAAUAAAAAUAAUUUUUUUUUUAGUUCUUCUCUAAAAAAAUUAUUUUAAUUAUAGUUUAUUGUACUGUGGGGGAAAUUAUUUUUUUUAUUAUAAGUAUUUAUAAUUUAAGUUACCUUUUGUAUCAGGGUUUAUUAAUUUAUCUUAAUUAUUUAAAAUUCCCGAAAUUAAAAGAUUUAUUUUAUAAUGAUUUUGAUUGUUUCAAAACUCUUUUUUAUUGUAAAAUAGUGGUGACAUACUUUUCAUUUUUAAAUAUCUGGUUUUUUAAUAGUUGAAUUUAAUUCAGCUCUAUCAUUGUCUUUUUAUAAUUUAAUUUAUAAUAGAUAUAAUAUUGUAAUAUUAUAAGGGAUAAGCUUUAUAAUUUAUUUAUAACAUUUAAUAUUGAUGAAUUUUUAUAGGCUUUUAAAUAGCUGUUAUUUAUUUUGUUAUAAUUAAUUUUCUUGUUAAUUUAAUUUGGUUUUGUUUAAAUUUUUAUUAAAAAUAUUUUUAUAAUUUUAUAGGGUAUGCUAUAAUGAUAAAAUCAGUAUUUUUUAAAAUUUAAAAUAUAGGAAUUCGGCAAAUAUUACUUUCGCCUGUUUAACAAAAACAUGUCCUUUCGAUUUUUAUAUAAGGUCUAACCUGCUCAAUGAUUUAUUAAAUAGCCGCGGUAUUUUGACUGUGCAAAGGUAGCAUAAUCAUUUGUCUUUUAAUUGAAGGCUUGUAUGAAUGGUUGGACGAAAAGUGUUCUUUCUUUAUUUUAAGAAAUGAAUUUAAUUUUUUAGUUAAAAAGCUAAAAUUAUUUUAUGGGACGAGAAGACCCUAUAGAACUUAAUUUUUGAAAAAGUAUAUAUUUAUUAGUAUAAAUUUAAUGUAUAUAUUUUUAUUAGAAAUUUUAUUGGGGUGAUAGGAAAAUUUUUAUAACUUUUCUUUAUUAGUUUUUCAUAAAUUCAUGAAUAUCUGAUCCAAAAGUUUUGAUUAAAAGUUUAAGUUACCUUAGGGAUAACAGCGUUAUUUAAUUGGAGAGUUCAUAUCGAUAAUUGAGUUUGCGACCUCGAUGUUGAAUUAAGAUUAGUUUUGGGUGUAAUAGUUCAAUUUACUAGGUCUGUUCGACCUUUAAAUUCUUACAUGAUUUGAGUUCAGACCGGCGUGAGCCAGGUCGGUUUCUAUCUUUAAAUAUUUAUAAUAUCUUAGUACGAAAGGACCAGUUAUUAGAAUUAAUAUUUUGUUAUUUUGAUUAAUUUU
RNAcentral lists this ribosomal RNA (1256 nucleotides) under Aphelocheirus ellipsoideus. RNAcentral's name for it is "16S ribosomal RNA". The stretch from base 820 to 1183 matches the Rfam family "Archaeal large subunit ribosomal RNA", at positions 2154 to 2712 of the family's 2987-position model. The record is from RNAcentral. Lineage: Eukaryota; Metazoa; Arthropoda; Insecta; Hemiptera; Aphelocheiridae.